AGUGAACGCUGGCGGUAGGCCUAACACAUGCCAGUCGAACGGCAGCACAGUAAGAGCUUGCUCUUACGGGUGGCGAGUGGCGGACGGGUGAGGAAUACAUCGGAAUCUACUUUUUCGUGGGGGAUAACGUAGGGAAACUUACGCUAAUACCGCAUACGACCUACGGGUGAAAGCAGGGGAUCUUCGGACCUUGCGCGAUUGAAUGAGCCGAUGUCGGAUUAGCUAGUUGGCGGGGUUAAGGCCCACCAAGGCGACGAUCCGUAGCUGGUCUGAGAGGAUGAUCAGCCACACUGGAACUGAGACACGGUCCAGACUCCUACGGGAGGCAGCAGUGGGGAAUAUUGGACAAUGGGCGCAAGCCUGAUCCAGCCAUACCGCGUGGGUGAAGAAGGCCUUCGGGUUGUAAAGCCCUUUUGUUGGGAAAGAAAAGCAGCAGGUUAAUACCCCGCUGUUCUGACGGUACCCAAAGAAUAAGCACCGGCUAACUUCGUG
RNAcentral lists this ribosomal RNA (492 nucleotides) under uncultured bacterium. RNAcentral's name for it is "partial 16S ribosomal RNA". It matches the Rfam family "Bacterial small subunit ribosomal RNA", at positions 29 to 507 of the family's 1533-position model. The record is from RNAcentral.